Small nuclear RNA from Suricata suricatta (meerkat), 104 nucleotides. Lineage: Eukaryota; Metazoa; Chordata; Mammalia; Carnivora; Herpestidae. The record is from Ensembl.
GCUCGCUUUGGCAGAAUACAUGAUAAAUUGGAACUAUCCGGAGAAGACUUGCAUGGCCCGUGAGAAAGGAUUACACAUAAAUCUGUGAAGUGUUCCAUAUUUUU